Molecule: ribosomal RNA, 253 nt
Filed under: uncultured bacterium
Lineage: Bacteria
Description: partial 16S ribosomal RNA
Rfam family: Bacterial small subunit ribosomal RNA
Source: RNAcentral
UACGUAGGGGGCAAGCGUUGUCCGGAAUCAUUGGGCGUAAAGCGCGUGUAGGCGGUUCGGCAAGUCUGCUGUGAAAGUCCAGGGCUCAACCCUGGGAUGCCGGUGGAUACUGGCGGACUAGAGUACGGAAGAGGCGAGUGGAAUUCCCGGUGUAGCGGUGAAAUGCGCAGAUAUCGGGAGGAACACCAAUUGCGAAGGCAGCUCGCUGGGACGUCACUGACGCUGAGACGCGAAAGCGUGGGGAGCAAACAGG